RNAcentral lists this ribosomal RNA (301 nucleotides) under uncultured bacterium. RNAcentral describes it as "partial 16S ribosomal RNA". It matches the Rfam family "Bacterial small subunit ribosomal RNA", at positions 509 to 807 of the family's 1533-position model. The record is from RNAcentral.
CAGUCGCCGCGGUAAUACGAAGAGGGCUAGCGUUGCUCGGAAUUACUGGGCGUAAAGGGCGCGUAGGCGGACAUUUAAGUCAGAGGUGAAAGCCCAGGGCUCAACCUUGGAACUGCCUUUGAUACUGGGUGUCUAGAGUGCGGGAGAGGUGUGUGGAACUCCGAGUGUAGAGGUGAAAUUCGUAGAUAUUCGGAAGAACACCAGUGGCGAAGGCGACACACUGGCCCGUAACUGACGCUGAGGCGCGAAAGCGUGGGGAGCAAACAGGAUUAGAUACCCCUGUAGUCCCUGUCUCUUAUAC